This 791-nucleotide ribosomal RNA is filed under the name Escherichia coli. RNAcentral's name for it is "partial 23S ribosomal RNA". It matches the Rfam family "Bacterial large subunit ribosomal RNA", at positions 2152 to 2925 of the family's 2925-position model. The record is from RNAcentral. Lineage: Bacteria; Pseudomonadati; Pseudomonadota; Gammaproteobacteria; Enterobacterales; Enterobacteriaceae.
AGGCUUUGAAGUGUGGACGCCAGUCUGCAUGGAGCCGACCUUGAAAUACCACCCUUUAAUGUUUGAUGUUCUAACGUUGGCCCGUAAUCCGGGUUGCGGACAGUGUCUGGUGGGUAGUUUGACUGGGGCGGUCUCCUCCUAAAGAGUAACGGAGGAGCACGAAGGUUGGCUAAUCCUGGUCGGACAUCAGGAGGUUAGUGCAAUGGCAUAAGCCAGCUUGACUGCGAGCGUGACGGCGCGAGCAGGUGCGAAAGCAGGUCAUAGUGAUCCGGUGGUUCUGAAUGGAAGGGCCAUCGCUCAACGGAUAAAAGGUACUCCGGGGAUAACAGGCUGAUACCGCCCAAGAGUUCAUAUCGACGGCGGUGUUUGGCACCUCGAUGUCGGCUCAUCACAUCCUGGGGCUGAAGUAGGUCCCAAGGGUAUGGCUGUUCGCCAUUUAAAGUGGUACGCGAGCUGGGUUUAGAACGUCGUGAGACAGUUCGGUCCCUAUCUGCCGUGGGCGCUGGAGAACUGAGGGGGGCUGCUCCUAGUACGAGAGGACCGGAGUGGACGCAUCACUGGUGUUCGGGUUGUCAUGCCAAUGGCACUGCCCGGUAGCUAAAUGCGGAAGAGAUAAGUGCUGAAAGCAUCUAAGCACGAAACUUGCCCCGAGAUGAGUUCUCCCUGACUCCUUGAGAGUCCUGAAGGAACGUUGAAGACGACGACGUUGAUAGGCCGGGUGUGUAAGCGCAGCGAUGCGUUGAGCUAACCGGUACUAAUGAACCGUGAGGCUUAACCUUACAACGCCGAAG